GACGAACGCUGGCGGCGUGCUUAACACAUGCAAGUCGAACGGAAAGGCCUGCUUUCCCUUGUGGAUUGCGGGUACUCGAGUGGCGAACGGGUGAGUAACACGUGAGUGAUCUGCCCCCAACUUGGGUAUAAGCCUGGGAAACUGGGUCUAAUUCCCGAUAGGACUGCAGGGUGGUGCCUGUGGUGGAAAACGAUUUUCUAGUGGUUGGGGAUGAGCUCGCGGCCUAUCAGCUUGUUGGUGGGGUAAUGGCCUACCAAGGCGGCGACGGGUAGCCGGCCUGAGAGGGUGGACGGCCACAUUGGGACUGAGAUACGGCCCAGACUCCUACGGGAGGCAGCAGUGGGGAAUAUUGCACAAUGGGCGGAAGCCUGAUGCAGCGACGCCGCGGGGGGGAUGACGGACUUCGGGUGGUAAACUCCUUUCGACCGCGAGGAAGCCACCUGGUUGGAAGGGUGGUGACGGUAGUGGUAGAAGAAGCACCGGCUAACUACGUG
RNAcentral lists this ribosomal RNA (494 nucleotides) under uncultured bacterium. Its description in RNAcentral is "partial 16S ribosomal RNA". It matches the Rfam family "Bacterial small subunit ribosomal RNA", at positions 28 to 507 of the family's 1533-position model. The record is from RNAcentral.